AUCCUGGCUCAGGAUGAACGCUAGCUACAGGCUUAACACAUGCAAGUCGAGGGGCAGCAUUAUCGAAGCUUGCUUUGAUAGAUGGCGACCGGCGCACGGGUGAGUAACGCGUAUCCAACCUUCCCCAUAGUCAGGAAUAGCCCGGCGAAAGUCGAAUUAAUGCCUGAUGUUUUCCACGGACGGCAUCCGAUGUGGAACAAAGAUUGAUCGCUAUGGGAUGGGCAUGCGGCGCAUUAGCUAGUUGGCGGGGCAACGGCCCACCAAGGCGACGAUGCGUAGGGGUUCUGAGAGGAAGGUCCCCCACACUGGUACUGAGACACGGACCAGACUCCUACGGGAGGCAGCAGUGAGGAAUAUUGGUCAAUGGGCGCAGGCCUGAACCAGCCAAGUCGCGUGAGGGAAGACGGUCCUACGGAUUGUAAACCUCUUUUGUCGGGGAGUAACGUGCGGGACGCGUCCCGUAUUGAGAGUACCCGAAGAAAAAGCAUCGGCUAACUCCGUG
This 502-nucleotide ribosomal RNA is filed under the name uncultured bacterium. Its description in RNAcentral is "bacterial SSU rRNA". It matches the Rfam family "Bacterial small subunit ribosomal RNA", at positions 16 to 507 of the family's 1533-position model. The record is from RNAcentral.